This 116-nucleotide ribosomal RNA is filed under the name Pteropus alecto (black flying fox). The record is from RNAcentral. Lineage: Eukaryota; Metazoa; Chordata; Mammalia; Chiroptera; Pteropodidae.
GUCUAUGGCCAUGCCAGCCUGAACAAGCCCGAUGUCUGAUCUUGGAAGCUCAGCAGGGUCAGGCCUGGUUAGUACUUGGAUGGGAGACCACCUAGGAAGACCAGGUGCUGUAAGCA